This 949-nucleotide long non-coding RNA is filed under the name Daucus carota (carrot). RNAcentral's name for it is "long non-coding RNA (DCAR_LNC003866)". Lineage: Eukaryota; Viridiplantae; Streptophyta; Magnoliopsida; Apiales; Apiaceae. The record is from RNAcentral.
UGGAGAUGCUCUGAGAAAUACUUUGACGGAAUAUAUUUUUUGAAUAAAUUGCAAAAGCUUUCGAGCACAAUUACUUUUUGUCAAAGAAAUGCUUGUUACUUCCGCGAGAAGAUUCAACUUAAAAAUCCAUAGCAUCUUGAUAAUGAUAACUGGCCCAAAUGGCUAUAAAUACUAUGGAUAUUGCCUUGUCUUCAACACUGCCCUCACUUGAGCUACUUUUCCAAUACACAAAUCCUCUCUUAUCCAAUUCUUCACUUGAAUCUACAGAGAUGGCGAGCUCUUCAUCAUUUAGCAUGAGAAGCCAGCAACCAAACUAUGGUCCUCCUCCGAAGAGGGGCCAGAUCAAAGCUCAGAUUUUCGAAAGCGUGGCGGAAACCUUUGUUUCCAUGGCCUUGAAAGCAGGGGAAUCACUCAUCAAAACCAAACAGAGCUCUGCUAGUUUUGCUGAUCAAGUUCCAAAGGCUAGUGACUGAAUCACUGUCUUGCUAAUUGCAUGACCAAAAUGACUCUGGCUAUACAUGUUUAGCAUUCCUGUAAUCCUGUGUGAUUGUAAUUUGUAAUUGUAAUACACUAAUACUGUAGUACUAGACUCUUGUUAAGCUACUGUCAGGAAUCUCGAGAUAUUAGGAGUUGGGCGCUUGAUUUGUAUUUUUGUGUUUCGAAGAUCUCGAAGAGUAUUGGGUUUUACUGUUGAGUUGUAAUAUCAUGUAAUGUUGCAGAUUCUCGUGAUAUCAUAGACUCUCAGUUGCAUGUUAUGCCUCUCAGAGGUGUUAUUUUGAAAUUUUUACUUGGAUUUGAGCUUUAGAAAAAGAUAAAUUAUGAGGAACCCUUUAUAGAACUCCCUUUGCCUGAGUAAAAAUUCAAUUUAUGGUCCAGAAACUUGCUGGCUGUAUAGCUUGUUUGUCACCGCUACUUUUGCUAAUACUCGUAUCCCGUAGAAUCAUUUAAA